This 289-nucleotide ribosomal RNA is filed under the name uncultured Moraxella sp. RNAcentral's name for it is "partial 16S ribosomal RNA". Lineage: Bacteria; Pseudomonadati; Pseudomonadota; Gammaproteobacteria; Moraxellales; Moraxellaceae. The record is from RNAcentral.
CUACCGGGGUAUCUAAUCCUGUUUGCUACCCACGCUUUCGCACCUCAGUGUCAGUAUGAUGCCAGGGAGCUGCCUUCGCCAUCGGUAUUCCUCCAGAUCUCUACGCAUUUCACCGCUACACCUGGAAUUCUACUCCCCUCUCACCUACUCUAGUCACCCAGUAUCAGAUGCAGUUCCCAGGUUAAGCCCGGGGCUUUCACAUCUGACUUAAGUAACCACCUACGCGCGCUUUACGCCCAGUAAUUCCGAUUAACGCUUGCACCCUCUGUAUUACCGCGGCUGCUGGCAC